AUUGAACGCUGGCGGCAUGCCUUACACAUGCAAGUCGAACGGCAGCACGGGUGCUUGCACCUGGUGGCGAGUGGCGAACGGGUGAGUAAUACAUCGGAACAUGUCCUGUAGUGGGGGAUAGCCCAGCGAAAGCCGGAUUAAUACCGCAUACGAUCUACGGAUGAAAGCGGGGGACCUUCGGGCCUCGCGCUAUAGGGUUGGCCGAUGGCUGAUUAGCUAGUUGGUGGGGUAAGGGCCUACCAAGGCGACGAUCAGUAGCUGGUCUGAGAGGACGACCAGCCACACUGGGACUGAGACACGGCCCAGACUCCUACGGGAGGCAGCAGUGGGGAAUUUUGGACAAUGGGCGAAAGCCUGAUCCAGCAAUGCCGCGUGUGUGAAGAAGGCCUUCGGGUUGUAAAGCACUUUUGUCCGGAAAGAAAUCCUUGGCUCUAAUACAGUCGGGGGAUGACGGUACCGGAAGAAUAAGCACCGGCUAACUACGUG
RNAcentral lists this ribosomal RNA (486 nucleotides) under uncultured bacterium. RNAcentral describes it as "partial 16S ribosomal RNA". It matches the Rfam family "Bacterial small subunit ribosomal RNA", at positions 30 to 507 of the family's 1533-position model. The record is from RNAcentral.